GCUGGACGCAGUGGCACGUGCCUGUAGUCCCAGCUACUCGGGAGGCUGAGGCUGGAGGAUUGCUUGAGCCCAGGAGUUCUGGGCUGUAGUGCGCUAUGCCGAUCGGGCGUCCACACUAAGUUCAGCAUCAAUAUGGUGACCUUCUGGGAGCAGGGGACCACCAGGUUGCCUAAGGAGGGGUGAACUAGCCCAGGUUGGAAACAGAGCAGGUCACAACUCUUGUGCUGAUCAGUAGUGGCAUUGUGCCUGUGAAUAGCCACUGCACUCCAGCCUGGGCAACAUAGCGAGACCCCAUCUCU
This 299-nucleotide signal recognition particle RNA is filed under the name Cebus imitator (Panamanian white-faced capuchin). Its description in RNAcentral is "Metazoan signal recognition particle RNA (ENSCCAG00000008896.1)". It matches the Rfam family "Metazoan signal recognition particle RNA". From Rfam's summary of the family: The signal recognition particle (SRP) is a universally conserved ribonucleoprotein. It is involved in the co-translational targeting of proteins to membranes. The eukaryotic SRP consists of a 300-nucleotide 7S RNA and six proteins: SRPs 72, 68, 54, 19, 14, and 9. The record is from RNAcentral. Lineage: Eukaryota; Metazoa; Chordata; Mammalia; Primates; Cebidae.